This 87-nucleotide transfer RNA is filed under the name Bifidobacterium pseudocatenulatum. RNAcentral describes it as "tRNA-Ser". It matches the Rfam family "tRNA". Rfam says of the family: Transfer RNA (tRNA) molecules are approximately 80 nucleotides in length. Lineage: Bacteria; Bacillati; Actinomycetota; Actinomycetes; Bifidobacteriales; Bifidobacteriaceae. The record is from RNAcentral.
GGACAGUUGGCUGAGUCUGGUUUAAGGCAGUCGCCUCGAAAGCGACCGACUCUAACGGGUCCGGGAGUUCGAAUCUCUCACUGUCCG